GGCUGCAGUGAGCCGUGAUCAUGCCACUGCAUGCCAGCCUGGACAACAGAGAGACCCUGUCACAAGAACAAAAAGGUUACUUUUAGCUUUUUAGGUGAUAACAUCAUAAACUCUGAUGACUUUUUAAGUGGUCCUGUCAUAAUUUGUAAUUUGUCUAUGUUCUUGAAAAUAAGGGGAAUAAAAUUAUUUGUGAAAAUAUGUCUCAGUGAAUUUUUAAAGCCAAAUUUUCCCUAUGCUGAAAGAAUUUCCUGUGAGAACAACAAAUUUUUCGUAAAUCUCUGUUAAUACUUUCACACUACAAGGACAAAUUUUAAUUGUCAAUGCUUAGUUGCAGCUGAAGGCUAGUCUAUAUAAACUAAAUAUAAUAACAGAAGUUCAUACUUAUCAAAUGCUCACUUAUCAUGCAGUGGGGUCAGCAUUUCAUAUGGAUUAAUUUAUUUAAUCUUCACAAUCUUAAACUAUAGCAUUAUUUUCAUUCUCAUUUUAUAGACAAUAGAACUAAGACAUAGAAAAAUAGAACAACUUGUCCAACUUGGAAUAGGUAGCAUUAGGAUUUGACCUCAGUAGGCCUGAUCCCAUGAGGUUACAUUUAGGUACAUACUCUAUUAUUCUUAGGCCCAAAUUAAAAAUUUUUAUUUUUACAGUUCCUUUCUUAUUUGAUAUUUUUCACAUUUACAAAUAUCUUAAAAUAUAAGCUUUGAAAGGUGUAAAGGAAAUCCUGAGUGAGUUUAGAAGAACGAGCCUGGUGGACAGAGUAGUUGAGAGAGUCAAGCUCUAGUUCCAGGCAUGUUAAUUCCAUUCAUAUAGGAAGGAAAUAACCAAUGUCAAAAUACCACGUUUUAAUUUAAAUGUCUGUGCGUAAUGAUAUGCCAGCUUCAUCACUGUGGCUAGGCCGAGCACAUCACCAUCUAAGAGAGUAUAGACACUGGAGCCGGACUGCGCAGAUUCAAAUCCAGCUCUGCCAUUUACUGACUACAUGAUCCAGGACAAGUAACUUGCUGUCUCUGUAAUCCUGUUUCCUCAUCUGUUAAAUUGGGCUAAUAGUAUCUAUCUUAUAGGGUUGUUGGGGGAUUAAAUGAGUUUCUAUACACAAAGCAUUUAGGACAGUGCUUGGCACAUAGUCAAGUACCAUAAGGACGUUUGCUACUUUUAUAAUCCCCACCACCACCUCCACCACCAUCAUCAUCAUCAUCAGCCGACUGAAACAUUUUUGGCAACAAUUAUAUUUAUAUUUAUAUUUAAACAUUCUCAGUGUUUUCAGAAGAUACAAAAUUCAACUUAUCUUAGAUGGACUUUGCUACAUAAGGCAAUUAGAGCAACUAGAUUUCUUUUGUUUUAUAAUUUGAGUGGUAAUUUAAAAAACGAAUCAGCCAGACAUUGCCAUGACUCCAUCUGAAGUUGGGAUUUUGCACCCACUAAAAAAGGAUUUGAUGUAUAAAUUGUAUGAAUGACUACCAACUGAAACAGAGUGACGAACACUUAUCUUGAAAAUCUGAAGCUGGGAUUGGCAAAAAAAGAAAAAUUAUGAGCUACUCCCAUCUGCAAAGUCCAAGUGAUUAGGGAAACUGAAUUUGUGUUUGACUUAACUACUUUAUUUUGGGGAGAUAUUGAUAGAGGUAAGCUCUGAUAGAUUCCCACACAGUUAAAUCUUUACUUCUGCUUUCUUUGAUGAAUUAAAAUGGAUGCACUCUGAAGCCCUCUGAGAGCAUUCACAGGGAUGAGACAGGCUUUAUUCCUCCAAUACAAUUUAGUCCAACUCUGCAGCUCACCUAUGGGGAAGGCUGGCAAAAUUCCAAAGGUGAUUAGUGUUUGUUUCUAUUAUUUCACAGGGUGGUGUGUGUUUGGAUGGAUGAAAGGGAAAGCCUAUAAUUUCAUGGCUGUCAGUAGAACAUUUCUGCUAAACCACUUUUUAUCUAAAACGUUCAAGAUGGGUCAAGGGCACGGUACUAUCACCAGAAUCAAAUGUACCUAUAGAUGUUACUAAAUCUUCACUGAGCAAGCUGGAAAAAUGAAAUAUUUUCUCCAGAAGGUUGAUUACCUUUUAAUCCGUUUUGUUGAGAUUAAAAUCAUCUUUUUAAUUACUUAAACUCUGUGAAUUUCUCUCUGUAAAUAUAAGCAUUGUGAGCUUAACCUGGACCAGUUAGGAAAAAUAUUUCAUUUUAAAAUUGUGCCACCACUGUCUUGUUUAGAAAGAAUGACUUGGGUAAAACCAAAUGUUGAGUUAUCAAGUAUUUCAAUACCCAUAUUCAUCAUCUGCUGUAAGUAUAGGCAUCUUCGCAUUCUUACAGAUUCUUUGAAUUACAUUCUAAAUGACUACCAUGUAAAUAGAUUAGAACAACAAUCAUGUCAUGCUAUUUUGUUGUCAUGGGUCAUUUUAAUCAAUGUUCAGUAAUUUCAUUGCACUUGUGUAAUUAGGUGAAGAAACUCCACCCGAGCGUCCAUGGGUCAGCUAUGUGGACUCUAGCUGCCAAAGGCGCUUCUCCUUCUGAACAGAGCGCUUUGCUCAGCCAGUGUAGACAUGGCCUGAUAAACAAUGGAACUUCUCCCUUGAGAACUGGAGUUUGGAUUGAUCUAAUUCUUUAACUCAAAAAUAUGCACAGGUUUGAUGAGUGGUUAAAAUGCCUGCCUUUUAGUAAAACAAGAGCUUAAAUUGACAGUACUGUGAAGAAUUCCGUAAUUUAUAAUGAACUUGAAAGGCAGUAGCACUCACUGUUGCAAAAGCUAAUCAAGGGACUAUCAAAUCGAAGUUUUCACAUGAGCUUAAAUACCUGUGGCAGGGAGGUUGUUCCUGCAGGUUUGUAUCUGUCAGGUCUUAACACUAAACCUGUCACAGUGCAACAUGGUCCUGUCACUUUUAACCAGGAUGUCACAUACAUUGUGGGAAACACCCUGCUCCAUAUUUUUUUUUCUAGGAUUUUACCAGGAAAAGCAAAGGUAAAAGAAAACAUUUUUUUUCUUUUUUUUAACACUGCAUUUUUAUUUUGCAGAUUCUCAGGAUGAUGGAGUGAGUGUUGGAGUAGGUUGCCAGCUGUAGUUACUCCACUCAGCGCAGAAUGGCUGCGGGGAAAUAGAAUCAGACAUGCCCAAAGAAUCUGCUCAGGGUGAAACAAAUACCUUUGAGGUUUAAAUAAGAAAGGAAGGAGAGGCUGUUUCUACAGGUGUCAUAGAAAAAUCAAUACUGAGCCACGGAUUAUUGGAUCCCAUAGAACCAUCGAGACUUGGCAGUGAAAUUCUUCCAAAGGCAGACGGUGUUCCUAGGUUUGGAAAUAUAAAUCCCAUGGGAAGUCAGCUGAAGAACAUUUUAUGCAUCACUCAUCCUGUUAUGAGCCCUGUGCUGUUCCCUCUCUCUACAAGACUGGCUGAAACAACAAGAGUUGUUUACAUUUUGUACUGAUCACCUAGUUAAUACUCUGACUCUGAUUAAUACCAAAGACAGUGUUUUAUAAAAGAGAUUCUCUAUUAGAAGGAUGCUCCCGCAUUAUUAAUAAAAUCACAGGGAAAAUGCAACAUUUUGGAUGUCACAUCUGAUAAGCUUAGAAAACUAUAACUCAAUACAUCAUGCAGUAUAUUUAAAUUAAAAUAUAAAUUGUAUACAUCAUUAUUCUUGGGGAGGGGUAAUUGAGAAAGGCAUGCUUCUCUGUAACCCUGGACAAAGUUUGACUUUUGAUGUGUGAAUUCUUAAAUGUGCACAAACCAAAGACAAUGGUAUACAUACUUUGACACGUUCUGAAGUUAAAAGAGGACAUGAGGAUUGUGUGAUAAGUGGCAGCCUUGUGUCUACUAUUGUAAUGACAUAAUGUCUGCAUAAGAAGAAAAAAAGUACAAAAAACAAUGGCGAGAUGAUGGAGAAGCUGAACAUAAGUAAAGGUACCUGCUGAUGCAAUAUGAGAAUAAAAAUAUCUAGCCCUCUGUGUAUGCUGCAUAUACUGUAAUCCAUCAGAAUGGAGGCACUGCCUUUGUGGUCCAAAAAUAUUAGUGUGUUCAACACUGCUACUUUGUAUGUUUACAUUAAAAUCCCUCAUAAUAUGUAAAAUAAAUUAUCCACGUCUAAGCAAUGUGAUAUAGUCAUUCUCUGUUUGGGUUAAGCACAUCUUAUGACUUUCCUAAAGUGUCACAAAGCAAAGCAUCUACCAGAUAAUUUGUGAUUUGUAAAAUAUCAUGACCCUCUGAGGGGAAGUGGUAAUUAACGGAAGCCUAAUUAUCUUCCAUGUGAAGAGGGCCUGGGAUGCUGACUUUGGGGAAUGCAGUGUCUUUGGCUCCUUAGCAUUUUCUUGGAUUGCUUUGUUGUCGUCCUUCUGGUUCUUUCUGGAUCCAUCUCUCUUUUGUUUCCAUUUGAAUCCUCUAUUGUAUUCCAGUUGGCAGUUAAAGAACAGAAACACAGCAAUAAGACUGAGUGGCUACAUUUUCCCAGUGCCACCAACUGGGAGUUAAGCUGACUAACAUUUUGAAAGCCCAGCCCAUUUCAUUCACAGCAGGAUGGCAGUGGGUGACUGAUCGUACCCGCCAGCUGGCUAAUGUCAUAAUUAACAAAGUUGCUACUACAUCUGCAAAGUUUAAUCGAAAAAUUUGCCAGUGAUACGAUGGCAUUGUCUCAGAGAUCACAAGGGACAUGGAGUCGACUUUUGCUCAAGGUGGAACGACAGAGCUGUGUAGGCAAGAUGAGAAAUUACGAACUUGUUCGGCCAAAGGAGGCUAAUAAUGAAGGGGCCGGGAAGGAGGCCAGUGCUACCAGGGUUAUCUCACAACCUCAGAUGCUGGAUAAGUCGAAGGAGCAGAAUCGCUUUGGGAUGACAUUCAGAAAGGCUGGAGUGAUUACUUGGAAGAGAAAAGCCUACCUAUUCUUUCCAAGGUUCAGGAAUAUUCCCUUGACGUGCUCAUCCAAUGGUCCAGUAAUGAAUUACUAGAGACCUGCCUUAGACAAAGAAUGCACUUGGAGCCCCACCACACCUAAAGCCACGCUUUGAAGGAUCUGCCAAGCUCACUUUUAAUCAUGAGAAAGAAAUUACCCACACGGAGUCAGCAGAAAAUGAGAAAGUAGAGCUCGUGCUGUGAAUAAUUCCAGCAAGUGCCAAGGGGCUAGUUGAGGAAUGGCUUCAUGAGAUGUUAACCUAAAACAGCACCUUGGAUCUAAGCUGCACCUUUGAGAAAGAAAAGACUCCUUCAAGAAUGUCUAGUUGUACCUCCUUUCCAUAUUUGGCCUAAAUGCCUAGGUUGGGUCAAUAGUUUAAUUUUUGUAUUGAACUGUUUAAUGUUGACUAUGGACCUAUAUUCACUUUUACUGUUUUCUGUAUGUUUAUUUUUGCUUGAAUUGUUUUAAUAUUAUUUGCCUCUACUCAUUUUUAUUGAUUUUCUGUAUUUUUUCAAUGAAAAUCAUAAUAAAAAUUAUUUUUGUUA
Molecule: long non-coding RNA, 5394 nt
Organism: Sapajus apella (tufted capuchin)
Lineage: Eukaryota; Metazoa; Chordata; Mammalia; Primates; Cebidae
Exons: 9
Source: RefSeq, a predicted model, not a curated record